UGCACCGGUAGGUGGAAGAAGCAUCCAGCUGCGCUAUUAUAGCAGCCAUUUGGAAGCACUCGAUCUUUGUCUAGUAAUAAUAAUGGAUCAGGAAGAGUUUAUAUAUGUAGUUUGUGUUUGUGAGAGGCAGUACCCAGUAUUAUAUGCAAAUCCAGAGGAAGCUUCCUCCGUGCUUUUUGUCUUUGAGGUCAAGUCAACGAGGAAGCUGCUUCUAAACAUACUAAAGGAAAGUCAAGAGGAGUGUCAUUCACUUGUCUCCAUGAGGACUGGGUUCCAAGCUAAUGAUGACCAAAGAGCAGAGCUACGUUUUCACAACACAAAAGCGGGCCAGGGUGGAUUAGUAAGUAUGUUCGCUAACUGUUCGAUGAAAUUCCCGACUCAGACACUGUGGAAGAAAAUGGACCAUCCCAAAUCGAAUGUUGUUCAAUAUUCUCCACCUCUCUCACUCUCUGUGCUCCAAGAAUUUGAACGGGUGCAAAACUGAAAUGGCUGAAUGGCUGAGUGCUUGCUCGAAAGCGGAAAUGUCUUGAUAGCUGACGAAGAAGAGGAGAUGAAAGAUGCUAACAGAGAAGCUGAAGAAGAAGAAGAAGAAUUUGAUCAGAGCAACAAAGCAACUACAAUCCCAUUCAACCUCAAGGAGCCUGCACCUUGCAUCCCAAGCUAAACACAAUCGCCUGUAAAUCCCCACAGCUCAGCUUCAACUACAGAGCUAGACCCCAAGUUGGCUCGGAUUCCACCCCACUCACUCUCAGGCGAAAUUUGAAAAAUGCACUUUUUUUUCAA
This is a non-coding RNA of Prunus avium (sweet cherry), 783 nucleotides long. NCBI's taxonomy places the organism in Eukaryota, Viridiplantae, Streptophyta, Magnoliopsida, Rosales, Rosaceae. The record is from RefSeq and is a predicted model, not a curated record.